This 405-nucleotide ribosomal RNA is filed under the name uncultured bacterium. RNAcentral describes it as "partial 16S ribosomal RNA". It matches the Rfam family "Bacterial small subunit ribosomal RNA", at positions 30 to 526 of the family's 1533-position model. The record is from RNAcentral.
AUUGAACGCUAGCGGGAUGCUUUACACAUGCAAGUCGAACGAGUGGCGGACGGGUGAGUAAUAUAUCGGAACGUGCCCAGUAGAGGGGGAUAACUACUCGAAAGAGUGGCUAAUACCGCAUACUAUUGGAGCGGCCGAUAUCGGAUUAGCUAGUUGGUGGGGUAAAGGCUCACCAAGGACACGAUCCGUAGCUGGUUUGAGAGGGCGACCAGCCAUACUGGCACGGAGACACGGGCCAGACGCCUACGCGAGGCAGCAGUGGGGAAUUUGGGACAAUGGGGGACAGCCUGAUCGAGCCAUCCCGCGUCACUGAGUAGGUCUUCGCGCCGUAAAGCACUUAUGGCUGCGAACCGGUAUCGGCAGAAUAAGCACCGGCUAACUACGUGCCAGCCGCCGCGGUAAUAC